UGAUGAGACACCAUAUGAAAUGUUACAUGUUUUUCACUGAUAAUCAUAUUUCUGCACCAGGGAGAGCUUAGAACCAUUGGUUCUAUUAGAGAAAUGUAGGGAAUUAUUUUUCCAGCCCACCUCACCAUGCACCACCAACCUUUUCUUACUGUUGGCCAGUUUGGAAACCACAACAAAAACAAUUCGGUAUAUGGCUGUGUGAAUCUACAGAGAAACAUAAAACAAAACAUAGUGUGAUAUUGUUACAAAAUUCAGUGUCCUGAGCGCAACAAUCUAUUGCACUCACUAGAUAUAGAUAGGUAUAAGCGCUCUUAGGGUGCUUCCCCUGAUGUAAUGGGGGGCAAAACGAUCCUUCUGUUCACCUCCGGAUUCUUAUUCCACCAAGAGACAUCCACAGGUCAGGGUGAAAAUUUAAG
Molecule: non-coding RNA, 416 nt
Organism: Pelobates cultripes (western spadefoot toad)
Lineage: Eukaryota; Metazoa; Chordata; Amphibia; Anura; Pelobatidae
Source: the annotation of a GenBank genome assembly